RNAcentral lists this ribosomal RNA (440 nucleotides) under uncultured bacterium. RNAcentral describes it as "partial 16S ribosomal RNA". It matches the Rfam family "Bacterial small subunit ribosomal RNA", at positions 339 to 795 of the family's 1533-position model. The record is from RNAcentral.
CUACGGGAUGCUGCAGUGGGGAAUAUUGGACAAUGGGCGCAAGCCUGAUCCAGCCAUGCCGCGUGGGUGAUGAAGGCCCUAGGGUUGUAAAGCCCUUUCGGCGGGGAAGAUAAUGACGGUACCCGCAGAAGAAGCCCCGGCUAACUCCGUGCCAGCAGCCGCGGUAAUACGAAGGGGGCUAGCGUUGCUCGGAAUCACUGGGCGUAAAGCGCACGUAGGCGGACUCUUAAGUCGGGGGUGAAAUCCUGGAGCUCAACUCCAGAACUGCCUUCGAUACUGGGAGUCUUCGAGUUCGGGAGAGGUGAGUGGAACUGCGAGUGUAGAGGUGAAAUUCGUAGAUAUUCGCAAGAACACCAGUGGCGAAGGCGGCUCACUGGCCCGAUACUGACGCUGAGGUGCGAAAGCGUGGGGAGCAAACAGGAUUAGAUACCCGCGUAGUC